Molecule: long non-coding RNA, 1420 nt
Organism: Sitodiplosis mosellana (orange wheat blossom midge)
Lineage: Eukaryota; Metazoa; Arthropoda; Insecta; Diptera; Cecidomyiidae
Exons: 2
Source: RefSeq, a predicted model, not a curated record
UCAGUCAAUUGAAGGCGAGCGCACGCGACAGCGUAUCAUUGUUUUUCUUGAUAAAUGAGAAGUAUCAGAGCAGUUCAUAGUUUGGUCUUUCGAACAUUCGUGCCACUUAAUUUAAAUAUAAUUACUUUUUGCAUAGCUCAUAGCCGAAAAUUGUGAACGAAAAUACAGUUUAAUAGGCUAAUUUUAUGGUCGCAAAUCCCGAAAUGCAAAUCUAAUAUACUUAAUUUGGUCUAUUAAAUUCGCCACAGCAAACGACGUACUAGACGAAAUGUGAUUGAUUCGAAGACAGCCAAGCGGAGAAAGGAGACUGAGGCGAAGACAGAGAUGACGCAAAAUCAGCAUUACAAACAGCGUUGACGUCACAAAGAACGGCUCAGUGUGUACGUGUGACGGCUUCUUGUGUGCGUUUCACUCGAACUCGACUACAUAAAGGAACGUCGAAUUUUGACACACACAAAGAAAAUUUAAGCCGAAAUUGCGAACGAAUGUUGAUUGACAGAACCGAUUUAUUUGCUUCGCUGUAAGAAUUUAUUUAAUUUUAUUAAUGAAUAUUUCGAUAAAUAAUUUCGUGAAGUUUUUGGAGUUAAACUGGUAAACAAACGCAGUCAAAACACUUAACAUGUUAUAAAGAAACCAUACUUGGCAGAGUAUGAAUCAUGAACGAUGUUCACACUCUGAAUAUAAACAACAGCACUUGCAGUGGCAACAAUAAAAUCAUUGGGCGAUGAAGCGAAUAAAUUGCCGGAAGAAUUUCGGAAAUGUUUUGACGUCAAACUGAAAGUGGUGCAGGAGCUGCUUGUGGAUUCCAUUUUCCGACUGAACAGUAAACAAACACGGCAAUUCAAGGGGCGAAUUCCGACGGCGAUGGAGAGACAGGGAGAAUUUUGUUCAAUGGAAAAUGGUUGAUGACAGCGGUAUAUCCGAUGGAAUGUUGAUUAAAUUGUCUUUGAAGUGUAAUUGUACUAUUUUCCCAAUAGGUUUCCGUAGAAAUGGCUACAGGUGUUAUUGUCCAUUGACCACCUUGCGAGGCCAUACUAGCGAAUUGCACAGAAAUUCUCUCUAUCCAGGGGAAACAAGUAAACUCAACAAGAUUCCAUGUAAUUGUUUUCAUAUUGUUUUUUUUCUCUCUAGGUGGUGUAUCACCUACAGCAAGUUCAACACUUACGUCUUUCAAAUGGGUGCAGUCAAAAAGAGUCAUAAAAUAGUUGAUCGCAAUGAAUUUGUAAACUGGAUUUGGGAACACAUUUUUGAUGAUGGAAAAAAUGGCAAAAAUAUAUUUGACAAUAAGAAGAAUAUUUGACCUGAGAAGUAACUCGCUUUCAUAUAGAUGAACACCAACAGUUAUCAAAUGAAUUAUAUUUUCGUUCAAUUUCGUACAUUUUAUUUUCUGUAAAUUUCAAUAAAAGCUCGUUUACCUUGC